RNAcentral lists this transfer RNA (72 nucleotides) under Ornithorhynchus anatinus (platypus). It matches the Rfam family "tRNA". From Rfam's summary of the family: Transfer RNA (tRNA) molecules are approximately 80 nucleotides in length. Their secondary structure includes four short double-helical elements and three loops (D, anti-codon, and T loops). Further hydrogen bonds mediate the characteristic L-shaped molecular structure. tRNAs have two regions of fundamental functional importance: the anti-codon, which is responsible for specific mRNA codon recognition, and the 3' end, to which the tRNAs corresponding amino acid is attached (by aminoacyl-tRNA synthetases). tRNAs cope with the degeneracy of the genetic code in two manners: having more than one tRNA (with a specific anti-codon) for a particular amino acid; and 'wobble' base-pairing, i.e. permitting non-standard base-pairing at the 3rd anti-codon position. The record is from Rfam by way of RNAcentral. Lineage: Eukaryota; Metazoa; Chordata; Mammalia; Monotremata; Ornithorhynchidae.
AGCAGUGUGGCUCAGUGGAAAGAGCACAGGCUUUGGAGUCAGAGGUCAUGAGUUUGAAUCCCAGCUCUGCCA